RNAcentral lists this transfer RNA (73 nucleotides) under Cutibacterium avidum. Its description in RNAcentral is "tRNA-Ala". It matches the Rfam family "tRNA". From Rfam's summary of the family: Transfer RNA (tRNA) molecules are approximately 80 nucleotides in length. Their secondary structure includes four short double-helical elements and three loops (D, anti-codon, and T loops). Lineage: Bacteria; Bacillati; Actinomycetota; Actinomycetes; Propionibacteriales; Propionibacteriaceae. The record is from RNAcentral.
GGGGCAUUGGCGCAGUUGGUAGCGCUCUUCCAUGGCAUGGAAGAGGUCAGGGGUUCGAAUCCCCUAUGCUCCA